This is a long non-coding RNA of Micropterus salmoides (largemouth bass), 283 nucleotides long. RefSeq lists it as uncharacterized. The record is from RefSeq and is a predicted model, not a curated record. The transcript is spliced from 3 exons. Lineage: Eukaryota; Metazoa; Chordata; Actinopteri; Centrarchiformes; Centrarchidae.
AGACCAGCCAUUUUGCACUUAGUUUGGAAAACAAGGUGCUUUGUUUUGUUUAAUCUUCGGCAUCCACCUGUAUUGAACUCUGGAUAAGCUUUGAUUUAUCACAGAGCUGUUGGAAAACACUGCAAGAAUGCAAGUUGAUGAAGACAAACAAUGUCUACAGGGACGGAAUUAUACAAGAAGAAGAACAACGCAGUGAUGAAACGCGCUCUGUAGUGCUGUUUGUCUGUUUACGGCUACUGUAGAAACAUGGUAGCGCAACAUGGCGACAUCCAUGGAGGGGGGG